RNA transcript from Diospyros lotus (date-plum), 1214 nucleotides. RefSeq lists it as uncharacterized. The record is from RefSeq and is a predicted model, not a curated record. Lineage: Eukaryota; Viridiplantae; Streptophyta; Magnoliopsida; Ericales; Ebenaceae. The transcript is spliced from 7 exons.
AUCUCCAUUUUCUUUCGUUAAAGUUUAUUUUCUUUUUAAAUUUCGAGCCGACCCCAAAAACGCCACCAAACGCCGCCAUGUCUCCGCCGACGGCUUGCCUUAUCCUCUCCGGUUCUACCCCGUUCCCGCCAAAGCCCCCCAUUAUUUCACCACCGCCAAAACAACCAUACGGCCAUCACCAGGGGCUUCAUCGUUUUCGCAUCAACAGCUCGCGCAGAGAAGCCACUGCUCUUUCAUUGCUAGCAGCCAUCGUUCCCUGCCUCCAGCAUCCCGCGGCCUCAACUGCUCUGUCCAUCGGGAUCUCAGGACCGAAGGAGUGGCUCAGGGAGCAGAAGAAGAAGUCGUCGAAGUUUCUCUUGGCUCCCAUCGACGCCUCUCGCAACAGCCUUAGCGCUGCUUAUCUCUUACUAACGAAAGGUGGUUCGGAUUUGGGUGAUAGCGACUUGGAGGAAGUUCAGAAGCUGCUGAGAUCUGCUGCUAGGGAUUGCGUUCCUGAGGACAGGAAUUCUUUUGUCACCUUUCAAGCUAGAACGGGAGUCGAGGUUUGCACGUUCAGGUUGAUUCUGAAGAAUGCGUCUUCAUUGCUUGAGGAUAAAGAUCCCCUAAAGUUGGAAGCUGAAGUUAAUCUUACUGACCUUUUAAGGUCCUUUGCCUCUCUCAAUUCCAUGGCAAAUGAAACUGAUAUUCAAUUGCCUUCCAGUAGGCAGAAGGUGGCAGAUGCACUAAUGGCUACAAUAACUUUCCUGAACAAAUUCGAGCAGGGUGUCAAGGAUUGCCUGGAAAUUUGAUUCUCUCAAUCCUGCAGACUUUAUGUACUGCUUUUCAUCUCUUCUUGAAGUUUUUCAAAAGCUGCUUCUUGCUAUGGGGAUGAAGACAUUGACUGUUAAAAGUGACAGAUGUGUACAACUCUGUUGUCUGCAGAGCAACCUUACAAUAUGUUAGCAAGUUACAUUAGGCAAUGCUGAAGCUUGGUGGCAAUUCUCCAGGUGGAGGAUGUGUACAAUUACUCUUGUCUGCAGAGGAACUUACACAUCUUUGAAUUGUUUAGCAAUAUAGAGGUAAAGCCAAGUCAUGCUAGAUUAUUCCUGAAUAUUUUUCUUAUUAAACCCCCUUUUAAGGUUACUCUGUAUUCUUUCAACCGUGCUUUGUGGCCAUGAUGUGUUACAAAUUUGAUUCUGAUCAUUUUGAUAUAAUCAACUGUGUUAUUUAUUUUA